Molecule: long non-coding RNA, 2248 nt
Organism: Lycium barbarum (goji berry)
Lineage: Eukaryota; Viridiplantae; Streptophyta; Magnoliopsida; Solanales; Solanaceae
Exons: 2
Source: RefSeq, a predicted model, not a curated record
GCUCCUCUCUUAACUAGAUGUCUCGGGUUUGAGCCCUUCUUAUGAAAAAAAUCCUUGGUAGGGAGUGCUUCCCCCGGAAUGGGCCCUAUGCGUGAUCCAAUGAGGGUACCUGAUACCGGGUUGGAAAUCAAAAAUAAAAAUAAAGUAAAAUUAACAUUCUAUUUAUGGUUCGUUAAGGGCCUGUUUGGAAAGCCACCCAGGUAAUUGGAAUUGAGUGUAAUUACACAGUUUGGCCUGUUUGUUUGACCAAGUAAUUACACAGUUAGGUGACAAUUGGGUGUAAUUGAGAGGGUGUAAUUAUACUCUUCAAUUCUCCCGGGUGGGGGGUUGGGAGGGGGGGUGUUGACAAUUGGGUGAAAUUACAUCUUGUAAUUACACAGUUACUUUUUAGUUUGUUUCUUUUUCUAUUAUUUUAAUUUAUUUUUGUUUUUAAUUUAUUUUUUAUUUCUAUUAUUUUAAUUUCUUUUGAUUUUUAAUUUAGUUUUUAUUUCUAUUAUUUUAAUUUCUUCUUUAUUUUUAUUUUUUAAAAUGUAAUUUUCUUUUUAUAAUAUUUAUUUUUCAUUUACUUUCUUCUCUAUUAGACAGUGUCCUACUCCUAGUGCCAGUCCAAUACCUACAGACACAAAUAGCCGACUUACUUGUAGCUAGGAGUCCUAGUUCUAAUGUGUUUCUAUGUAUUUCGUAUGUCUAUAUAUUCUUCCCUCGUUGUAUCAAUUAAAACACACAAUAUAAUAAAACGCACAACUGAUUCUAGAGUCAAUAUUCCUCAUGUUCUAAUAUGGUAUUAGAGCCUCUAACGGACUCGUCAUCCACGUCGUCGACCACCAUUAACACUGCCAGUUCUUCUUUUCCAACACCUCUCUACCAUGUUCACCAUUUUAUUUCAAUUAAGUUAAAUUCCUCCAACUAUCUCUUCUGACAAACACAAAUUUUGCCCUUUCUUCGUGGUCAAGAUCUUUUCCCGUUAUGUUGAUGGCAGUCGCCCGUGCCCUCCAUCUCAUGUGUCGGGCAAAGAAAAAGAAGCAGCUAUUGCUAGUCCAGCCCAUUCUCGCUGGAUUCAACAGGACCAAGUGAUCCUUAGCCUGCUUAUCUCGUCUCUAUCAGAAGAAAUUAUUCCGAUUGUAAUCGGUCUUUCAACAUCCAAAGAAGUUUGGGAUGCGCUGAAGGCAGCUCUUUCCUCGCCAUCCAAUACGAGAAUACUCAAUCUUCAUAUGCAACUUCAACAUAUGAGACAAGAUGAUCUACUUAUCACUCAGUACCUUCACAAAGCGAAACUUAUAUGUGACGAACUAGCUGCUGCAAGUCGUUCGUUGUCUCUUUCCAAUCAGAACAUCUAUAUAUUCAAAGGCCUCCGAAGUGAAUUUAAAGACAUUAUUACCACCUUAUCCGCUCGACCUGAACCAGUCUCGUUCAGUGAAUUACAUAGUCUUAUCCUAAACUAUGAAUUCAUUCACCGGCAGACCCUCUCCUCUCUAUCAAUUACAAAUUCUUCACCGUCGGAACUCGCAUCUAACCUAGCUGCAAAUCUUAGCCAGUGAGCAUCACAAUCUAAUCGCAACUCCAAUGCUAAUCGUGAAAGAGGUCGCCAGAAUUGUCGGGGCAGAAGAGGCUAUCGUGGUGGCAGAAACAACUCAUAUAGGGGGGUCCGAACACUGGACAACAGUGGGUUGAUUCGCGCCAACGCUGCCAAAUAUGCAAUGGUUUCAAUCAUUUAGUCCCCGCGUGUUUUCAGCGCUUCAAUCAUACAAUCAAUCCUACGGCUUACUUAUCGCACCACCCCGCUCCAGUCUCUAGCAAUUCGUAAUGGUUCCUCGACUCUGGCGCCACACAUCAUAUUACGCCUGAUCUUGCUAACCUACAACGAGUGGAAGACUAUCAAGGCACUGACCAAGUUCACGUCGGCAAUGGCCAAGGGCUUCCAAUUCAUCACACUGGAUCGAGCAUCCAAGACACUACUUCUUUCAGGUCGGACUAGUGGAGGCCUCUAUACUCUUCCUCUCAAGUCAUUCUCUCGGUGCCAUUCUUCAAGGUCACCUUCUGCUUUUCUCUCGGCAAAAACAUCCUCUACAUGCUGGCAUCUUCGGCUAGGACACCCUCACUAGCGUGUGUUCCAUCACGUCAUUAGGAAGCAUAGGUUACCUUACUCUAGUUUCAAUUUUAAUCAUAUUUGUAGUGCUGCCAACUUGGCAAGUCGCACAAGUUACAUCUUCCAAUUUCAAUAAAUAAAAGUACUUCUAUUUUGCAAUUA